UGGGGAAUAUUGGGCAAUGGGGGAAACCCUGACCCAGCAACGCCGCGUGAAGGAAGAAGGCCUCGGGUUGUAAACAUUCUUUUAUCCACGGGAGCGAAGGAAGUGACGGUACCUGGAGAAAAAGCAACGGCUAACUACGUGCCAGCAGCCGCGGUAAUACGUAGGUUGCGAGCGUUGUCCGGAUUUACUGGGUGUAAAGGGCGUGUAGGCGGAGAAGCAAGUUGGGAGUGAAAUCUAUGGGCUCAACCCAUAAACUGCUCUCAAAACUGUUUCCCUUGAGUAUCGGAGAGGCAAGCGGAAUUCCUAGUGUAGCGGUGAAAUGCGUAGAUAUUAGGAGGAACACCAGUGGCGAAGGCGGCUUGCUGGACGACAACUGACGCUGAGGCGCGAAAGCGUGGGGAGCAAACAGGAUUAGAUACC
This 420-nucleotide ribosomal RNA is filed under the name uncultured bacterium. RNAcentral's name for it is "bacterial SSU rRNA". It matches the Rfam family "Bacterial small subunit ribosomal RNA", at positions 355 to 786 of the family's 1533-position model. The record is from RNAcentral.